Molecule: long non-coding RNA, 1874 nt
Filed under: Homo sapiens (human)
Lineage: Eukaryota; Metazoa; Chordata; Mammalia; Primates; Hominidae
Description: HSALNT0139877
Source: RNAcentral
GAGAGAAUGACAGUGGCAGGAGCUGAGGUUAGUGAGGCAGUGGGGGGUUAGCAAGUUGAAGGCAGAUAAUAUGGGGCUCUGUGGGCCAUCAUGAGGACUUCAGCUUUUACCUCGGCAUGAGAUGGGAAACCACUGGAGAAUCUAGAGGAGAAAGGGAUGAUCUGCCCUUCAACAGGAUCAUCCAGGCUACUCCGGUGAAUAUAGACCAUAUGAGGGCAAAGAUUGGAAGCUAGGUGAGCAGUUAGAAGGCUACUGCAAUAGCUAUGUGAGAGAGAUGAACUAGGAGAGUAGCAGUGGAGAUCUGAGAUACGGCAAAGUCUAGAUAUAACACAAAGGAAUAGCCGACAGAAUUUGCUUUUGGAUUGGCUGUAUUGUAGGAGAGAAAAAAUAGGGUGCAUUUUUGGGUUGAGCAAAGAGAAGAAUGAAGAUUCCUUGUACUGAGAUGGGGAAAACUGCAGGAGGAGUGGGUCUGAAAGAGAUGAGGCAUAUCUGAGGCACAGAGAGGUUAAGUUGGGGACUGAAGUGUGGCUCCAGAAUCUAAGUUUCUAACUGCCAUGCUAUGACUGACCCCACUGGACUCAUGACUCAUGGACUCAGCUGGUCCUGUGGCCCUACCCAGAAGUGGACUCAGCACACGAGGACCAUUUCCCACACUCCUGUGAUUUCAUCCCCAAUUAUUCAGCAGUACCCUUUCCAUAGCCCCUUGCCCACCAAGUUGUCCAUAAAAACCCUAGCCUCUGAGCUUUUGGGGAGAUGGAGUUGAGUAAUAACUCCAUCUACUGCAUGGCUGGCCUUGUGUCAAUUAAACUUUUUUCUUUACUGCAAUAACAUGGUCUCAGUGAACUGAUUUUGUUCAUGCAGGAGGCAGGAAAAGCCCCUUGGGUGAUUACACAGUGGUUCUCAAAGUAUGGACCUCCAACCAGCAGCAUCAGCAGCAUCUGGAUACUUGCUAGAAAUGGAAAUUCUCUGGCCCUAUUCCAGGCCUUCCAAGUUGGAAACUUUGUGAUGGGGCCCAGCACUCUGUGUUUUAACAAGCCCUCUAGCCUUAAGGAAAACAACUCUGAGGACUUUUGUCACGGACUUGAAAUUCUCAUCUGUGCUUGGACAAGACUCUGAAACAUACCAACUGUGUAUUUUCCUGCCUUUGGUAAAUCUGGAGCUAUUAACUGAUUCUAAAGAACAUUUGACUUAAAAAGACUAUGGAAAGCCCAAAGAAUAAAGAUAAUGAAGACCCCAGUGGAUUAUUAUUAGCAAAUGAAAACUGGAUAUCAAGAAGGGCAAAAUCUUCAACCUUAUCAGCAGAAAGAGUUUAUGUAAAAAUAUACCACAUAGAAUAACUAAAAAAAUAAGCAAGUGAUACCUUAUCUGAGCUCAAAAUAUCUGUUUCUUUGCAAAUGGAUAAAGGAUUUAUUAUAUUAUAGCACCUUGAGGACAGAGACUUUAUGUUUCUAACUACCCAUCCCAGCAUCAUCUAGUUCAUUCCUAUGCUGAACAGCCCCUAACACAUUGCCUAAAUAAAUACUAACAUUAUAUGUGUGCAAUGAAGUAUUCUUUUGCUAAAAGCAAAACUUUCAUAUGGUCUUACAAUAAGCCACUUGUAAGACUAGUUUUAAAUAAUUACUGAUACAAAUGCUGCCACUGCCCCCAAAGAAACCUGAAUAAAAUUAUGUUAGGCUGCACUAAUUUCAGUGUCAAGCUAUUUAACUCUGCUGAUAGUCAUUUUUUUAAAGAUCUUUUGAUCUUUAAAUUGAGAGAGUUGAACUAAAUAAUCUUUUAGAUAUCUUCUAGUUUAAUAUUCUAAGAUUCUAGUAAAUAUAUUGUGUUUGGUCAGGUGUGGUGGCUCAUGCCUGUAAUCCCAACAUUUUCAGAGGCUG